Molecule: long non-coding RNA, 689 nt
Filed under: Marmota monax (woodchuck)
Lineage: Eukaryota; Metazoa; Chordata; Mammalia; Rodentia; Sciuridae
Source: RNAcentral
GAUUUCAGGAUAACAGUAGCACUUAUCCCAGAAGGAAAACAAAAUUCAAGAAUAUAACCUCCUAAAUUUACAGUGAAUCAAAACUCAGAUAAAAUCUUGAAUACCUGGUUAGUAGCACCUUCUAGCAACCGUGGUUUUCUACAAACUCUUUUGCUGUUUAUGCUAGUUUAUCCCAAUGUACAAAUUAAGAAUAGGUGGCUCAAGUGUGAAGGAAGCAGGUAUCUACUGAAUAAAAAGAAUAUCACCAUAUGAUUGAUCAAUGUAGACCAUUUUAAAGAACGCAUAGAAUCUAGUUUCUACAUUAGGCUAACUUUCUGUCCCAAUGAUUCUACAUGAUUUGAUUUCUGUAUUCAUUCCUUAAGUGUUUAGAAAAGAAAAAGUUCAUUUGAAAAAGUUGUUGAGAUAUUCUCUGUAGUAAUUUUUGGCCAGAAAUAUUUGUUGCUAUAGGAGAUGAGAGCAUACUAUUGGCACUGAUAUACAGGGUGUGAGAUAAAUUAUUCUUUGGAGUCUUGCCUGUUUUCCAGUGAAAUAAAUUGAGGAGAAUUGAGGCCAGGCUUUCCCAAUUUCUAGUUUUAGACUGAUUUUGUCAUUCCAGCCUAUAUCAGAAGGGGUCAGAGCUAGGUUUUGCUUUGUGUUUGAUACAGCUCCUUAAGUUUCCUGCCUAAGGAAGCAAAGGUGUUAAAUACCCC